UGCGUAGGUGGCGCUGUAAGUGGGGUGUGAAAUCCCGGGGCUUAACUCCGGAACUGCAUUCCAUACUGCGGUGCUUGAGGACUGGAGAGGAGACUGGAAUUUACGGUGUAGCAGUGAAAUGCGUAGAGAUCGUAAGGAAGACCAGUGGCGAAGGCGGGUCUCUGGACAGUUCCUGACACUGAGGCACGAAAGGGCCAGGGAAGGCAAACGG
Molecule: ribosomal RNA, 211 nt
Filed under: uncultured bacterium
Lineage: Bacteria
Description: partial 16S ribosomal RNA
Rfam family: Bacterial small subunit ribosomal RNA
Source: RNAcentral